GGCCCGACGGAUUAAAAGGGAAUCGGGUGAAAGUCCCGGACAGUCCCGCUGCUGUGAAACUCAUAUAACAGCGCAUCGACAAUCACCAUGCCACUGGUCGGACGACUGGGAAGGCGGCGAUGCGAGAGUAAGUCAGAAGACCUGCCAUCACUUUUG
RNAcentral lists this non-coding RNA (156 nucleotides) under human gut metagenome. The record is from RNAcentral.